RNAcentral lists this non-coding RNA (247 nucleotides) under Brevibacillus parabrevis. RNAcentral describes it as "T-box sequence". It matches the Rfam family "T-box leader". Rfam says of the family: Uncharged tRNA acts as the effector for transcription antitermination of genes in the T-box leader family. T-boxes are found upstream of many aminoacyl-tRNA synthetase genes and some amino acid biosynthetic genes usually in Gram-positive bacteria. The record is from RNAcentral. Lineage: Bacteria; Bacillati; Bacillota; Bacilli; Caryophanales; Paenibacillaceae.
GUAUCAAUGAUGAUCGGGAAGAGUAGGUCAGGAGCCCUUUUACAGAGAGGAGAAUCAGUUGCUGGAAGAUUCUCUAAGGAGACGAUGGACUGAAGGUCGCCCGGGAGUUGUUUUUGGUGAACACGAUGUGUCUAGCCGAAAGCGGUUCGCAGCCGUUAUCUUGUUUGAGGGAACUUGCGAUGGGCAGUAUUGCUUGUCGUCUGUUAACAAAGGUGGUACCGCGAAAUGAAAUCCUUUCGUCCUUUGG